Molecule: non-coding RNA, 996 nt
Organism: Paramuricea clavata
Lineage: Eukaryota; Metazoa; Cnidaria; Anthozoa; Malacalcyonacea; Plexauridae
Source: the annotation of a GenBank genome assembly
AUACAGUAAUUUGAUGUUUCUUCUUAAUAUUGUUACCAAGGCAAAGUUAGAUAAAUUAAAUUAAAUUAAAUUAAAUUAAAUUAAAUUAAAAUUAAAAAAAUAAUUUCAAUUAAUAGUUAAAAGACAAUGCAAUGCCCGAAAACUACAAGAAAUAUUGGAUAUUUUAUGUGGUAUCAAAAUGCAAAUCUCCGUAAAAAUAAGCGACUCGCUGUUUACCAUGCACCUGUAGCCGUAAGAAACUCGUAUAAAAUAACAAAGAAGAGAAUACAUAUAUUCAAUUCAUGUGUAAUGAUCUCGCCAUUGUAAUCCACACAGAUUAAGGCUGUUUUCCAAUUUAAGCGUACCGUACCAAAACGUAUGAAACAGGAAUAAAACGUGAAGAAUGUGAAGAAACGCUUGAUACGAGAGUACACUCGGAAGUAGGCGAAUUUAUCAACCUAUUUUCAAUCCACUCAUGCUCAUUAGUACGUUUUAGUAUGAUUACGGUUGAAGUGGAAAUCGCUGGGCCGCCGGUGACUAUAUACAUGUAAGAUCAGUAGUCAACCAAAAAUAACCCCGGAAAACGUUAAUGGAUUUAUUAACAUUAUAUAUAGAUAAAAAUCCAUGUCAAACGAACCCUUGCAGAGAAAGUCAAAAGUGCACGCCAAUCAUAGCAACUGGAGGACGUAAUUGUACAUGCAAAGAACAGUUUAUUGAGAUAAAUGGAACUUGCGAACCAGUACCACCAGGUAAGAUCGCAUAUCGUAUUUAUAGAAUAGAUCCAAAGAAUGUUAAAAUUGUGAAACUGACAAAAUCUGUCAGUGUGCAAAAUAAAUAUUUUCUAAUACAAAAAUUUCAUCAUGCAUAGAGAAACACAUUGCAUAUCCUUUCAUGGAAAACACAAGUGAUUUUCGAGUUACGUGAUUUCUAUAGAGGAUGAGGGAGGUAACAGGAAAUUGCAUGGAAUGAUUGUUACACGUCCGAAAAAGAAAAUCUCUGCCAAUUGCUUGUAAUGAU